Dermacentor silvarum is the source of this 183-nucleotide small nuclear RNA. RefSeq annotates it as U2 spliceosomal RNA. The transcript has a single exon. Lineage: Eukaryota; Metazoa; Arthropoda; Arachnida; Ixodida; Ixodidae. The record is from RefSeq and is a predicted model, not a curated record.
AUGGCCGGCGCGGGCCAAAGUGUAGUAUCUGUUCUUAGCAGCUUAAUAUCUGAUACGGGUUGUAUUUAGACGCAAUAUAUUAAACUUAUUUUUGGAAGUUGGUGGAGCGCUUGAAGCCUGCGUCACCUCCGUCGUGGGUCGGCCCGGUAUUGCACUAUCUGCGGGAUUUUUGGUCUACCGACA